This 21-nucleotide unclassified non-coding RNA is filed under the name Dictyostelium discoideum. Lineage: Eukaryota; Evosea; Eumycetozoa; Dictyosteliales; Dictyosteliaceae. The record is from RNAcentral.
GAAAUCGGAAUUGGGUUUGGC